GACCACGUAGCUCAGUUGGCAGAGCAUUGGGCUAGCAUUCCCGAAAGGUCGUAGGUUCGAUUCCCACCGUGGUCA
Molecule: non-coding RNA, 75 nt
Organism: Paramuricea clavata
Lineage: Eukaryota; Metazoa; Cnidaria; Anthozoa; Malacalcyonacea; Plexauridae
Source: the annotation of a GenBank genome assembly